CAAGGCGUCCGCUGCUGCUCCUAGCGUCAGGAUGCAAACGUGCUCUGCGUUGUAGCUCAGUGCCCAAAUUGAUGACGUGGUGGUGCCGUUCACCUACCGGACGAGACAGAAUGGCAGACCAGAGCAGGCAGAUCAAACUCGCCGCGGCCAAAAAAAAGCUGAAGGAGUUUCAGCAGAAGAGUGCCCCGCCUUCCGGGGGGUCAAGCAUCAAGAAGAAGAGGAAGACGAAGGAAGCGGGUCAGCUGGACCCCCCCCAGGGAGACAGACACUCCCCAGAUAAUAUUCAGAGCAUACUGAAAGUUCUGGUGUCUGAUCUUAGCGUGACCAAUGGGGUCGCUCUCCCUCCGUUUGUUAACAGCCAGGCUCUCAUUGACGGUGAGGCCAGGGCGUCUCCGAGCGCGCAGCUGGAAGAUGAGCAGCACAGAGAGCCCGACCGCCGCUCGCCGGUGCCUAACGCUAGCGCUAGCGCUAUUAACCCCGAGCCUCGCAGCCAAAGCCCUGCCGCGCAGAGCUCGAGCCCUGACGCGAACUGCAAUGAAAAUUCCCUGGAAGAGAACAGACCGCUGUCCUCCACGGAAAGCUUGCGCCAGCUGUCCCAGCAACUCAACGGCCUGCUAUCUGAGACGCCCGGGCAGUCUCCAUCGUCCUACGUGAACGGGGACAGCGCGGUGUCGCCGGCCAAUGAGAAGGAGCUGGAGACCCGAAACCAGGAGCUCGCAGCCGCCCUGGACUCCAGCAAGCUCACAAACACUCAGCUGAGCUCAAAGCUAGACCAGCUGACACAUCAGUCCCAGGAGCUCUCGGAGCAGCUACAGAAGGAGCGCAAAGAGUUUGAGCAGAAGUUUCAGAAGGAGCAAGGAGCCAUGCGGGAGCAGCUGCAAGUCCACAUCCAGACCAUCGGGAUUCUGGUGUCGGAGAAAUCGGAGCUGCAGACGGCCUUGUCCUACACGCAGCAGGCCGCUCGACAGAAGACCGGGGAAGCGGAGGAGUUCAGUAACCGGCUGCAGUCCUCCAAACAGCGGGUGUCAGAGCUGGAGAGGACCCUGUCCUCCGUCUCCACCCAGCAGAAGCAGUUUGAGAAGCAUAAUAAAGAGCUCGAGAAGGAGAGAGACAGCCUAAAGCUGGAGGUGUACAGACUGAAUAAAGGGAACGAGGAGGCGAGGCAGCAGAGCUCCGAGCUGGCCGAGCAGCUGAAGCUGAGGGCGGGCGAGAACGACGCCAUGCGCUACGAGCUGGACGACCUGCGCAAGAGGCUGGAGAUGGCCGACCUGAUGAUCCAGCAGUUCUCCAGCCAAUCAGGGCCUCCCAGCAGCAACCAGCAAGCGCAGCUGCUCCUGGAGGAGAAACUGCAGCUGGAGGCGCACACAGAACAGCUGAUGGAGUCUGUUGCGCAGCUGCAGACGGAGAGAGACCAGUACGCCGCGCAGAUCCAGGAGGAGGGCCGCGUGUGGAAGGAGAAAACGGAGCAGCUGCUGACUCAGGUGACGUCCAUAUCGGAGGAGAGGGACGGCUGCGCCGCUCGCAUCCUGGAGCUGGAGUCCCAAAUCACAGAGCUGAAGAGCGCUGCGGCCCUGUUGUCCCAGGAAGCAGAGGCCUUGGCCCCGCCUCCGCCUGCGGGGCCCUCGGAGGCCGAGCUGAGCCUGCAAGAGGCCCUCAGCGGCCUGCAGCAGGAGAGGGACGGGCUCAGCGCCCAAUACCAGGCCCAGGUACGGGACAACGAGCAGCUGAGCCGGCUGGUGCAGGAGCAGGAGGCGCGGCUGCUGGAGCUGGAGCAGGAGGCGCAGCGCGAUGCGGAGGAGGCGCAGGACCGCCAUCGCCUCCUGGAGGACGCGCAGAGCGACAAGGCCACCAUCAGCCGCGCGCUGGCGCAGAACCGCCAACUCAAAGAGCAGCUGGCCGAGCUGCAGAACGGCUUCGUCAAGCUGACCAAUGAGAACAUGGAGCUUGCGACUGGGUUGCAGUCUGAGCAGCACGUGAAGAAGGAACUGGCAAGAAAAAUGGGCCAGCUGCAGGAGGACCUGCACCACAUCAAAGAGCAGCUGGAGCAGAAGGUGGAGGAGGCCCGGUCGGCCCAGGAGCAGCGGGACCAGUACCUGGCCCACCUGCAGCAGUACACCAGCGGGUACCAGCAGCUGGUUGCCGAGCGGGAGGAGCUGCACCGGCACUUCCUGCAGCAGACGCAGCUGAUGGACCGGCUGCAGCACGAGGAGGUCCAGGGCAAGGUGCAGCUGGAGCUCAGCCAGCAGCAGCUGGAGCAGGCGCAGGAGAAGCUGAACCAGCUGGCCAAAGAUAACGAGGACCUGAAGACGGAGGUGCAGGAGCUCCUGAACAGCUCAGCGCUGGGCUCGCCGUCCAGAGUCCAGGGUGAUGGACUGGAGAGCAAGACUGUGUAUGAGAGCUUCCAGAAAUCCGACAGUCUCACCAUCCCAGAGGACUUUGACAGCAGGGAACAGAUGGAGGAGUUUGUGCAUUCCGCCCUGAGCCACCUGGAGAAGGAGAGGGACGAGGUGGCCUGGCAGCUGGAGGAGGAGAGAAGGCUGCACCAGGCCUCCCUCCAGCAGGUGGCGGCAAUGAGUCAGGAGCACCAUCACCACAGCACCUGCACAGACGUAGCCUCGGACCUGGGUUCGGACAGCGUGCCGGCGGAGGUGCACGAGGCCCUGCGCGUUGCCAUGGAGAAGCUGCAGCUGCGCUUCACUGCGCUGAUGCAGGAGAAGGUGGACCUGAGGGAGCGCGUGGAGGAGCUGGAGCACCGCUGCAUUCAGCUCUCCGGAGAGACCGACACCAUCGGAGAGUACAUCGCUCUGUACCAGAACCAGAGAGCGAUCAUGAAGCAGAAACACUUGGAGAAGGAGCAGUACAUCAGCAUGCUGGCCAAAGACAAGGAGGAGAUGAAGGUGAAACUGGCGGAGCUGCAGGACCUGGUCAUGCGCUUGGUGGCCGAGCGGAACGAGUGGUACAGCAAGUACGUGCAUUCGGUCAACAACCCGGACCUGCUGCCCGCCGGCGCGGAGCCCUGCGCCCCCGCGCAGAGACGCAUGGAGCUCAACGCCGUCGACGGCCCAGAGUCCAUGGAGGUGAGCUCAGAGCUGGCCCUGGGCCCGUCGGUGCUGGGGGGGUCGGACGUGGAGCCCCUGCUGCAGGAGGCGGGCGAGGUCGGGGCGGAGAGCGCGGGGGCGCCGCCGCGCCCCCCGGUGGAGGACGGGACGGCCCAGCAGAUCAUGCAGCUGCUGCAGGAGAUCCAGAACCCUCAGGCCCGCCCCGCCCCCUUCCUGGGGGAGAACCCCUGCAUCCCCUUCUUCUACCGGGCCGACGAGCACGACGAGGUCAAGAUCCUGGUGGUCUGAGACUCCUCCCACUUGCCCCGCCCCCUUCCCUCCUGCCCCGCCCCCUUCCCACACACCCUCCCAUUUGGCUGAAGGGACUCUCCCGCCUUUGGCGGACCUGACCGGAGAGCUCUACAACUAGCUCUUUAAGGGAUGAAAGUGCGUGUGUGUGUGCGUGUGUGCGUGCGUGUGUGUGUGUGUGUGUGUGUGUGUUUUGGUCUCCUUCCAACGGAGUCUCUUGUAACCGAAAUGCCCCGCCCCCUUCCCCAAUUUCCAAAGCUCGGUUGGAGGGUCUCCCUGGAAGUGCUCUGUUACCUUCAGCUGCCGUCGUGAAAGUGAAGAAAGGACAGACUGAACAAACGUUUAAAUGAGUUUUCUCUCCACCGUCCCUAACGCGGGAGCUCAGUACACCCUCCCUCUGCCCAAACGCCCCCCACCCCCCCCCCCCGUUAAUAUCUAAAAUCUGGUUCGGGAAGAGUCAGGGUGGCUUAGGAGGGUGGGUGUGGGGGUGGGGCAUCAUUACACUCCUGCGAUGGGACUAGUUGUGACCAAGGCUUGAGAAUCACCCUAAGGGUGCAUCUAGUGCUGAUCUGGCCCCCAGCCCCCUUGUGUAAAAGACCUGCAUUUUGAGAUUGAUCAGGAGGAGAUUGAUCUUUUUCCUUUACUUUUGUGCACUUGCUUUAAACCUUUAAAAAAAAGACAUUAAAUACAUGAAAAUGUAAUAAUUGCGUAGACUAGAUUUUAAAAUGCUAACCAGAGAAACGUCUCUCCAAAGAGAAAGCAGCCGACCGAGUAUCUACGUUUGCAGUUUUUUUUCUUUGCUAUAUUUGGGUGGGGGUUGUUUUCGCCAGGAGAGUUGCUCCUAGCCUGGGUUCGGACUGGAGGAUGAGCCCGCAGAGUUUGGCGCCUGUGGGCAUCGGUCCCUGCACGUGCCCUGUCCUGCUGGCACACGGGGGUGGGGGGGGGGGGGUGGCGUCUCAUCAGAAGGCCGCAGGAACAGGAAGCGAGUCAGAGACGCGUCGGCGCGGCGGGCGUCUGAAACGCGAGCGGGGCGGCAGACCGCGGGAGAGCUCGCCGUCUUUCGCGCGACAGUUCCGGAAGGACCUAGAUUCGUCUAGCGGAAACGGCGGUGCGCGGAGUCGAAUAGACUCGGGCUGCGAGCUCCGCCUCUCCGGUGUCUUUGUGCAAUACGGCGUCAGCCAGGGCCCGGUCUGCCGGUACAUGUCCAUUUUUGAUUUCCCGACUGCCCGAAGUGACGCUUUCUGAACGCACCCUUCAGAGAUUCCACUUGUCGGCGCGGCCGUUGCACGGUCUUCAUGUGCGACGAGUAACGUAGACGUAGAAUAACAUGGGCUUUGAGUGUUCUCUCUUGGUUUGCGUAGAAACUGUCCCGGGUCAAGAGCGGCGUCUGGAAUGUCCGGGCAGGGAGAUUCCCCACCCCCUGAGGGAGGGGAACAGCUUCUGUGGUUGACGGAGGAAUGCAAUUUUUUUUUUUUUUAAAUACAAAAGCGUUUGGCCUCGUUACCGUAUAUUCAGCCACCGCUGUUCAAUGUGUGUGCCCAUUCUGGUGGUGUGUGUCUCUGUGGUGGAGAGUCCUCCUGCAUUGCUUCUGGCCCUAGGACAGGAAGCGCUUUAGGACAGGAAGUGCUUUUCGACAGGAAGUUCUUCAGGACAGGAAGUGCUUUUCGGACAGGAAGUGCUUCAGGACAGGAAGUGCUUCCUGCUUCCUUUGAGAAUGCGCUGAGAAGGCGGAGAGUAAGUGAAAAUGCGUGCAUGCCCGCUCGCGUGUGUGUCUGUGUCACACGUCCCCAUUAGGACAUAAAUAUUUAAAAUAAUAAUAAAAUAAAAUUGAUGAGAAUUUGUUUUGGCUGUGCUGUAGAAUGAACCAGCGAAGCGGCUGGCAGCCAGUGUGCACGCGUCAGGGUCCGCUCGGAUGGCCGCAGGGCAUGGCAGUUUGGGUCCGUGUACGGACAAAAUUUGGGCUGGAGUUUCCCUGUUCUGCUGCUUGGACGAAACAUCCAGGAUUGGCAGUGACUGAAAGCAACAAGAAAAAAACUUUGUGUGCGCUGCUAAAAAAGAAAAAAGAGAGAAUAGGAAAGUAAUGCUUCAUUGAAGUUGUUGGGCAGUUGAGGGUUGUGGUGUGCGGUUUUAAAAGUGUGCGGUAGCUCUGUCUUCAGCUACCCUGCGUAAACACUGAAGCCUGCUAGCGCUUUGCUGAGUGACUACAAAUGGCCUCCACGCCCGUGGGUCGCCUUGCACUCCAGCCAGCGUCAUUGUCUGUGAGAGUGUGAAGGAGCCAGGGGAAGGGCACCAGGGUGCCGCUGCUUUAUUUGGGUUUAUUUAUGAAGGUCUUCAGAGCCGGAGUGAAGUUCUAGAUCAGCGGCUUUCUGGGCUGGUCCAGGGGAUGCUGCAGCUCGGUUUUCCUGGGGCUGAAUUCGUUCCUGAAUUUAAGAUGAGCAACGCAGCAGACUUUUGGGCCCCCUGUGUGGCUCUGUGGGGCCCCCUGUAUGGCUCUGUGGGGCCCCCUGUAUGGCUCUGUGGGGCCCCCUGUGUGGCUCUGCCUUGGACCUCCGGGUUCCACUCAUAGAUUUUGUUUUUCUUUUUUCUGGGGGGGGGGGGGGGAAAUGAGAUUAAGUAAAUUAAAUUGUGUCAUUGGGGUGGGAGGGGAGGGGAGGAGUUAAAAAAAAAAGUAACUGGAAAGCAAAGGAGGAGUUAAAAAAGAGCUUCUUUUUUUUUAGUCUAUUGGUGGUUUUGUGGAAUUUAAUUUUGUCUGAGUUUAAUUGGACGGCCGGCCAGUGACAUAAGUGUGUAAAUAGUGUAUCUGUGUAACAUACUGUAUAUUCCUCUAUGUAGGUUUGCGGAGACGGAGAAGGUUGGGCAUCGCUGCUUUUUGGCCGCGACUGAGGUGUUAAUGACCUGUAGAUCUAAUGAAUCAUGGUGGGGGUGGGGGUGGGGGGUUCAGGGGCAGAUUGGGGCAGUGGGUCACGGGUGGAACCGUCUGUGAUUUAAUACUGAGGUUAACUACAUGAAAAUAUAUUUAUUUGGAGUAAUUAUCCAAACUAAUCAGUUUUAAAAUGUAGAAUGUGUAAACACUAUGGAGAAAAAAUGAAGAAAAAAAAAUAUACUGUCAACAGAAUAUUUCUGAUGUGAUUCACCUUGUAAGAUUUUUUUCCCCCUCUCUUCCUGAAUAAAAUUGAAUGAGCAAAGUAA
Molecule: RNA transcript, 6536 nt
Organism: Anguilla rostrata (American eel)
Lineage: Eukaryota; Metazoa; Chordata; Actinopteri; Anguilliformes; Anguillidae
Gene: golga2
Gene name: golgin A2
Exons: 29
Source: RefSeq, a predicted model, not a curated record